This 109-nucleotide long non-coding RNA is filed under the name Aotus nancymaae (Ma's night monkey). RNAcentral's name for it is "WT1 antisense RNA conserved region 1 (ENSANAG00000012208.1)". It matches the Rfam family "WT1 antisense RNA conserved region 1". The record is from RNAcentral. Lineage: Eukaryota; Metazoa; Chordata; Mammalia; Primates; Aotidae.
CAACCAAACACGCGUUCUUAGCUGGCCGGUGUGGCACAACCCUCCCCCCACCUCCCUUUCAGGGCCUUCGCCAGUGUGGGAGCCUCGUCUCACUGGAGAGUCCCCUCAG